This 217-nucleotide long non-coding RNA is filed under the name Elaeis guineensis (African oil palm). RNAcentral's name for it is "long non-coding RNA (EGUI_LNC048022)". Lineage: Eukaryota; Viridiplantae; Streptophyta; Magnoliopsida; Arecales; Arecaceae. The record is from RNAcentral.
UGUGAUCACCAUCACCAAAUGUGAAAUCUAAAGGCUGCUCUAUAUAGAUAUCUUCCUCAAGAUAUUCAUUCAGAAAAGUAGUUUUUACAUCAUCUAUCAAAUUUUAUAAUCAUAAUAAGCUGCAAUAGCAAACAGAGUGCGAAUAGACUUCAGCAUGGCUAUGAACAAGAAGAUUUCUUGAUAGUCAAUGCCCUCGUGUUGGCUAUAAUCUUUUACC